CUAGCUUGCUAGUCACUCAGCGCGUUCUUUAUCUUGUGUUUCUGGUUUUGACCCUUGCUUGUCUUUUGUCCUGUUGUCCUCUCCUCUCCUUUGACUCGGCUUGUAUCUCGCUUACCUGUCCUCCGGCUCCCUCGACCUCGGCUUACCUUUUGACUAUUCUUGCUUUGUCCCUACGUUAGUCCGGCCAUUCUAAGGUCCGGUAUACGUACCUCCUUCUGUCCGCACUCUGCGUAUUGGAUCCCUGUCAGUAUCCUGACAGCAAUAGACUGCCAGACCAGCCCCCUCUGAUCCACCCCCCAGGGGUCUGCCCACUGAGAAACAACUAGUUUAGAUAUAUGAGGGUGUUGGACUAUCCAGGGAGGUCAGUUAUUCAUUUUCUUUUUGUCAGUAACUUCUAGGAGACCUAUACCAUCUAAGACUCCCACAAGAAUUCUAUAUGGGGUAAAUAUAUGUAAGGAAUUUCUUGUGUUUUCUCCUAUUUUAUUUUAUGUACUGUGUUGCAAUUUGUUAUCUGUAUGUCAUUUAUUUCUGUAUUUUGUACUCAGCACUGUGAAUCCUUUUUGUCAGAUUAAAUGUUUACUUAAUCAGCUUGUGUCUCUG
This is a non-coding RNA of Pelobates cultripes (western spadefoot toad), 600 nucleotides long. NCBI's taxonomy places the organism in Eukaryota, Metazoa, Chordata, Amphibia, Anura, Pelobatidae. The record is from the annotation of a GenBank genome assembly.